GCCCAGACUCCUACGGGAGGCAGCAGUGGGGGAUAUUGCACAAUGGGGGGAACCCUGAUGCAGCGACGCCGCGUGGGCGAGGGAGCGCCUCGGCGCGUAAAGCCCUUUCGGCGGGGGAGAACGAUGACGGUACCCGACGAAGAAGCACCGGCUAACUACGUGCCAGCAGCCGCGGGAAUACGUAGGGAGCAAGCGUUGUCCGGAAUUACUGGGUGUAAAGGGAGCGUAGGCGGGAAUGCAAGUUGGAAGUGAAAGGUAUGGGCUCAACCCAUGAACUGCUUUCAAAACUGUAUUUCUUGAGUGAAGUAGAGGCAGGCGGAAUUCCUAGUGUAGCGGUGAAAUGCGUAGAUAUUAGGAGGAACACCAGUGGCGAAGGCGGCCUGCUGGGCUUUAACUGACGCUGAGGCUCGAAAGCGUGGGUAGCAAACAGGAUUAGAUACCCUAGUA
Molecule: ribosomal RNA, 447 nt
Filed under: uncultured bacterium
Lineage: Bacteria
Description: bacterial SSU rRNA
Rfam family: Bacterial small subunit ribosomal RNA
Source: RNAcentral